Molecule: long non-coding RNA, 8760 nt
Filed under: Populus tremula
Lineage: Eukaryota; Viridiplantae; Streptophyta; Magnoliopsida; Malpighiales; Salicaceae
Description: long non-coding RNA (PTRE_LNC001244)
Source: RNAcentral
CAACUAACAAAAAUACCGGCAAGUACUUGGUUGCAGCCUCCCCAUUCAUGGAUGCUCCGAUUGCAGUAGACAACAUGACUGCAACAGCCACUUUACACUAUUCAGGAGCACUUUCUAACUCCCCUACAACUCUCACCAUCCCACCUCCCAAGAAUGCCACUGCAAUUGCCAACCAAUUUACUAAUUCUCUACGCAGUCUAAACUCGAAAAGGUUCCCUGCCAAAGUCCCAUUAACCGUUGAUCACAGCCUUUUCUUCACUGUUGGUCUGGGAAUUAACCCGUGUCCAACUUGCAAAGCUGGUAAUGGUAGCAGGGUUGUUGCUAGUAUCAACAAUGUCACAUUUGUAAUGCCAACCACCGCCCUGCUUCAAGCACAUUUCUUCAACAUCAGCGGCGUGUUCACCACUGAUUUUCCUGCAAAGCCACCACAUGUUUUUAAUUACACCGGCACUCCACCCACAAAUUUACAGACCAGAAGUGGAACAAAAGUAUAUAGGUUGGCCUACAACUCGACAGUCCAACUUGUUAUGCAAGAUACUGCGAUCAUAUCCCCUGAGAACCAUCCAAUCCAUCUACAUGGAUUCAAUUUCUUUGCUGUUGGUCGGGGAGUAGGGAAUUACAAUCCGAAGACUGAUCCUAAGAAAUUCAACCUUGUUGACCCUGUUGAACGGAACACAAUUGGAGUACCUUCUGGUGGAUGGGUUGCGAUCAGAUUUCGUGCUGAUAAUCCUGGUAAUUGAUGUUUUUGGUUUAUGUCCACUAAAUUUGAACUUGAGAAAUUUUUCAUAAUUCAUUUUCUUUAAUUUUUUUUUUCAAUUUUUGAAGGAGUUUGGUUCAUGCAUUGCCAUCUGGAGGUGCACACUACAUGGGGUCUUAAGAUGGCAUUCUUGGUGGACAAUGGAAAAGGCCCUAAUGAGUCACUUCUGCCGCCUCCUACCGAUCUUCCAAAAUGUUAAACCAGCUGAAGAAAUUAAUUUACUUGGGGGAUAGAAGCAGUAGCGGAUCAGAACAGUGGUCCGCCGAAAGAUCAGAUGCUCGAAAGGAGAGGAGUAAUAUAUAUAUAUAUAAACACACACACAUAUAAAAAAGAAAAGUUGAGAGUUAAAAGAUCUAAUUUGUUUCUUGAGUAAUUUGAAAUAGUUGCUCAAGCGAGUUUGAAUAAAAUUUUAUGAGUGAUACAGUUGUGGAAAUUCAAAUGUUUUCUUUCCCCUCAAAUAUAUAUAUAUUGAGAAUUUUUAUGGCUUAGCCAAUUAAUUUGUUUCUUUAAUAUGGUUUAUCAUUUUUUUUUCUUAUUGUGAGAAAUCUAGUUGUAUUAAGCUUGAUGAGAUACAAUAUUUGUAAAUCACAAAAGAACUUGCGUCAUCUAACCACACUUCAUUUAAAACUGCUAACAAGACAAAUGGAAUGUUUUUGUUAGAGGUCGAGUUAUUAUAUGUGAAAUUAUUUCUUAGAUUGCUAAUUAAAGGUUCUAAAAAACAUUUGCAAUUUAAUUCAACAAAAACUUUAUUUUGAAGAAUUAAAAUUAUGUGUAAUUGAUCAUCAACAUUCUAUAUCUAUAACGAUAUGCAAAUGAGAAAUAUAAAUUACAACAAAGUCAAUCAAUCAUUCGAAGAGCUUGCAAAUUUAAUCAAGAACUUAGUAUAAUAAGUACUUAACCACAUAAAAAAAAUAAACAUACAAUAUGCAACAACUUGUAGAAAACAAUAUUCAUCAACUUAAUAAAAAAUCAUUAUAUAAAAGUACUUAAUUGGAAGAAUUGAAAGACCAAGGAUAAAAAUGAAACAAAUGACAAAGUUUGGAAGUCCAAUUGAUUAAAUUGAAAAACUAAUUGAGGAGAAAAAAUAGAAUUGAGGGAAAAUUGGAAAGAUUUGCAAGUCAAUGACCGAAAUAAAAGAGAUGAGAAAUUUUGGAAUUCCAAUUAUUCAAUCAAGGGCUUAAUUGAGGAGAAAAAUUAAAUUUUAGAGUGAAUUAGAUAAAAAAAAAAUAGAAAAGUUAGAGACCAAAGACCAAAAUGGAAUAUGCGUUUAAAUUUAAGGAUCCUAUUAACUCAAUUAAGAGUGUGAUGGAAGAGAAUAAUUAAAAUUUGGAGUCAAUUUGAUAAAAAAAAUGAAAGAAUUAAAAAGCAAAGACCAAAAUGAAAUAGGCAUUGAAUUUUGGGGAUUGUAUUAAUUCAAUUAGGGACUUAAUUGAAGAAAAAAAAUAAUAUUUGAGGUCAAUUUGACCAAAAAUACACAAAUUUAAAAUCUAAAGACUAAUAAGUAACAGUUGCCAACAUUGAUGGACUAAUAUGUAAAAGAAACAUUUGACAAUUAAUACAUAUUGAUCGAAAAUAAAGAAAUUAAAAGUAUGGGGAUUAAGUUGUAACCAAAGAAAAGGAUGAAAAUAACAAAAAUAAAAAAUGAUAAAAUGGCAUUUAAAAUAAACGUUGCAUAACCUCAUUUAUAAGAAAUAAUCAAAGGCACCAAACAACAUUGUUUUAAGAGGGGGUAGAAAAACCUUUUUGUCCUUCGUACCAUGCAUGCAAGUUUUUAUCCCUUUUUUUUUUUUUUUUUUUUUGCAUUUGACAGGAUGUUAGACCACCGUUUUUCUUUCUGGCGUGAACAUUAAAUACCCAGAAUCAUGUCAUUUUCUUCCCCUGAAAUUAUACUUCACUUUGAGCCAAAGACCUAUUGCAUUGUCUCCAAGGCUUCGUUUGUUUGCAGAAAAGUAAAUUUUUUUUGGAAAGUAAAUUUCGGGGAAAGUGAAUUCCUGGAAAGUGAAUUCCGGAAAAGUAUUUUCUGAUGUUUGGUAGUGUUAUGGAAAAUGAACUGAAAAACACUUUCUAGUGUUUGGUUAUGUCAUAGAAAAUGAGCUGGAAAAUAACUUAUUAAUAUUUUAUUUUUCUCAAGUUUAUUAAAAUAAUGAGGAACAAAUCUUACAAAUUAAAAAGUUGAAUGAGAAUGAAAUUGAAAAAAAAUAUAUAAUUUCAUAAAUUAUCUCAAAUAAAACAAAUAAUAAUCAAAAUAAUAGGGAUCAAAUCUAAAAAAUUAAAAAAAAAUGAAAAAUGAAGAAAUUAAAAUAAUAAUAAUCAACAUUUCAUAAAUUAUUUCAAAUAAAAUAAGUAACAAUCAAAAGAAUGAGGAUCAAAUUUGAUAAAUAAAAAAUUUUAAUAAAAAAAUGAUAAGAAAAAUAGCAAUUAUGAAAAUAAGGACCAAAGUUCAUAUAAAAAUAAAAUUUUAAGAGAUGAAAUUGAAAAAUAAAUAUUCAAAACAAAAUAUAUAUAGCAAUCAAAAGUUUGAGGAUCAAAUUUGAUAUAAUCAGCAAAUAAUGACAUUUCUAAAAUUUUCACAACUUCCGGAAAGUGUUUUCCCCUCAAAUUUUUCAGGAAAACACUUUCCUGAAAACCAAGCCAAAAUUUCCUUUUACUGGAAAGUGUUUUUCAUUGACCAACUUUCCUACUGGCAAACAAACAUAAGAAAGUUUGGAAAGUGCUUUCCCGGACACCACUUUCCGAAAAACAAACACAACUAAAAGGAAAACACUUUCCUGAAAACCAAGUCAAUUUUUUUUUGGACUAAAAUUGACUGGAAAGUGUUUUCUGGUGACCGGAAAGUAUUUUUCGCUGACCGAAAAUUGUUUUUCGUUGACCAACUUUCCUAAUGACAAACAAACACAGAAAAAUUUGGAAAAUGGUUUCCCGGAAACUACUUUUCGGGAAGCAAACAAGGCCCAAGUGGUGGCAGAAAACGCAUGCCAAAGGAGCCAACCCCAACACUUUAUAUAAAGUGUACAACAACGAUGGAUGACUAAGAUUUGUCCAAAAAGAUUAACGAACAAUAUUAUAUAUCCAACCUAAAAAGGUUUUAGGACCUUCCUCUAAAAAGAAACUUAAAGAUAGAAAGUUCGAAUGAGAGAGAGAGAGAGAGAUUUUAGGAAGGGAGGUUUGAGCUCAAACCAACUUAUCUGAGUGGAAGAAGAUAUUGAGGAGAGAAAGAAGAAAAUGAAUAAAAAGAGAGAGAACUAUACCCCAAAAAAAAAAAACCUUAAUUGUGAGGAAGAAAGGAGUUGGAUUUUUGGGUCACUCAAAUGAUUCAUUUUGAACCGGAGAGUUCCACUUGGGAAGAAAAAGAAAGAGAGGAAAAAAAAAACAUAAAUAAAAAAGAAAGAAAAAACCUUAGUUUAGAAAGAGAAAACAACUCAUAAUAUCACUCCAUCUCUAGUCUGCCACUAUAAUAGCACUAGAAGCAUCCGCAAUUCACAACUCUUCUUCUUCUUUUUCUUUUUUCUCUUUAGAAUUUAUAAAAAAGAAAGAAAAAACCUUAGUUUAGAAAGAGAAAACCACUCAUAAUAUCACUUCAUCUCUAGUCGGCCACUAUGAUAGCUACUAGAAGCAUCCGCAAUUCACAACUCUUCUUCUUCUUCUUCUUCUUCUUUUUCUCUUUAGAAUUUAUGAAAAAAUAGUGCAGAAUAAUGCAUUUUGAUUUUUAAAUGCAUGAAUAAAAGUUUAAAAUAGUUUUUUUUUUGGCAUAGAUAUUGUGUAUUCUUAUAAAAAAUGGUAGCCAAAUAUGUGAAAAAUACAUGGAUAAAAAUUUAAAGUUAGGGUUUUAAAGUUUAUUUGUAUUUAAUGUUGGUUUUGCAUGCCUCUUAUUAACCAAAAAAAAAAAUGAUUAGAAGAUUAAAUGUGAUGAUUUUGAUUAAAAAACAAAUGCAUGAAGGAAAAAUCAAAACUUUUGUUUUUAAGUUUGCUUGUCAUUUAGACUUGGAAUGAUAUAGUUAGUGUUUUGAAAUGUGCUUUGUUUUUUAGAUGACGGGGCUUGAAAAAUACUUGAAUUCAAAUAUUACAUGCUACCUUGAUUAUGAAUUAAAAAACAAAUCAUUAAAUUUAUUUUUGCUUCCUUGAAUGAUACAUAAAUGAAUAAUAUGACUUAACAUGUUUUAUUUUUCAGAUUAAAUUGUUAUAAUGAGCCAGGAAAAAACACAUUACCGUCGAAAGGAGGACCUGGUGCGUGUCCGGCAUCCAUCAAGAGACCUGCUAGUAAUAUUGGGCCAUCCCCAUGGAGGAGGAUUGCAAGCAAUGCCUCGAGGAAGACUGUUAGGCCUACCGAACUUUGCCCAUUUUUUUUUGUUCUUGAGCUCUCGGACAUCUGUUGUUGAAUAAGAAAAGCUAAAGCUGGAGCUGAAAAGUAUGGUGGAAAAUCAUAUUGAAUUAUGUAUUUGAAACGUUAAAUAAGAUUAUUAUUUUAAAAUAUUAUUUGUCCACUAAUUGCUAUUGAAUUUAAAAUAAAUACACUUUUAAAACUAAUAUAUAGUUACCAAGAGUCAAUUUGAUGGCAGUAAAGGAGACCCUGCUUGAAUAAAAUCUCGUUGAAUUUGGUCAGUGUUUUUUAGAAUAAAGUGAAUAAAAAGUUAUUUCAAAACAUAACCAAUAUUUUUAGUUAUUUGUCUAUAAAGUUUAGUAUAUCCCAUAAUUAAAAAUCAUGAAUUUUGGAUGAAAUAAAAUCAAUAAAUCAAUUCUAAAAUCAAACACCGAUUGAAGCUUCAACUGCAUUUCUGAGCUAGGCAUUCCGACACAAAGAAAGCUAUAGAUUUGAGUUAAUACAUGUAUCUAAGCCUUAAAUAUUAUAGAACUUCAACUGCAUUUCUGAGCUAGGCAUUCUAAAAUAUGAAAUGAUAGAUUUAAGUACCCUAAAUAUUUGUAAAUAACUAGAAAACAAUUAAUCCAAAAAAAUAAUAAAGCUAAAAUCCAAAAUUAUCAAGAAAAAAAUUUAAAAUAUAAUAUUAAACUUCAAAGAUAUUUUUUAGGGCUUUUGGAGUGGCAUUUGGAAUAAACUUCAGGCCAGUGAGAUAUGUUCUUUUAGAUUAAUUUUUUAUUAGGAAUUUAUUUAUAAAAUUUAAGUUUGAUUUAACAAUUAAAUAAAAAAUUAUAAUUGUUUUGAGUUAGAUGUAGAAUAACUUUUUGUUGUUUAUUUAUUCAUAAAAUCCUAUACUAAUUGCUGCACAUCACAGUCAAAAUAGAAAAUGGAUAUUAUGAACAUCCACUCCACACUUUAACCGAAUACUCAAGAGAAAGUUUAAAUAGAUACCUUUUCAAAUUUCAAUUUUUUACACUUUGACUCUUAAUUUUUAAUUUUUUUACUUUGAUCCCUGAACAUUUUAAUCUAACCCUUGAAUUCAUUUUUUUAUAUCAUGAAUUCAACAUUCUUCUGGUAAAAACAGUUACCCCAAAUUACAUUAAGCUCUUGUAUUGCCUCAAAGAACGAAUCAAAUAACUAGACAUUGUUCGUAGCUAAUGUGAGUUAGCUCAAUCGGGAUGCCAUGUCCUAGAAAGCAACAAAACAAAAGAAACUUUAAGGGCAACUUUAUGCUCGAGCUGAGUUGACCAAAUGUUCUUUUUAUCCCGUAUUUGUUAUACUUUUUUCAACUAGUGGAGUAGAUAGUAGGACAAGAGGAUGUUUUCAAGAUCAAAAUGUAGGAAGUGGGUACCAAAUUUAAUCAUUUCACAGAAAAAAAAUCAAACUUCCAUGUAAGGUUCCCAACAAAUGAAAGCUCAUAGUUUGCUUCCGAAUCUACGUAGAACCAUGAACAGGAGUACUUUAUGUAGCACGUAAGAAAUCCAUCGAGAUUAGGAUUCAAAAUCUUGUUUUCCAAGAAUGUGCUCACCCAACUAACCUAACUGAGAAAAACGACAUGGCAACAAUUCCCCUAAUCCCUUUAUAAGGUUGAGGUUGUCAGUUGCAGAUGAAUGCAACAAGCUUGAAAGAAAGAAGUGUGUCAAUAGCGAGAGAGAGAUUGAAAGGGAACGAUCAGAAAGUCAGCAAAAAUGGAGUCCUCGUGGUUCCGUUUUAUCCUUCUUGCUGUCAGCAUCUUCCCUGCUUUGGUCGAAUGCAGGGUUCGGCAUUACAAAUUUAAUGUAAGUUUGCGUUGUUAAUGUUAUUUUUAUAGAACAAACUUGGAUAUGGUCCAGCCUUCACAUUGAAAAUUUUCUUCAAAAUGCACUUCAUUGUUAGAAAACUAUGAUUCAAAUGGCAAGCUUAGAGUUUUCUAAUGGAAAAUUUGUUCUCAUUCUUUCUUUAUUGGAAAUUAUUUGCAGCAAAAGCUCUCGCUAUCCAUAUAUAUAUAUUUACACAACUAGCUAGUCAGACUGUUGUUUAAUAUUUGUGCCAACUUAGUUUGAAAAUUAAUUAUUUGGACAGUAAUGGUAAGAUCUUAAAUCGUCAACAGACUCCAAGCAGAGCUAUAGUGACAUAAUUAGCUACAAACACUUUAACAACUUGGAAAAUUUUGUCACAAGCUUUCAGUAUAUAUUUGAUUCAGAAAUGAUCUUAAUUUGGUCUCUCAUUUGAACAGGUGGUGAUGAAAAACACUACCAGACUAUGCUCAAGCAAGCCGGUUGUUACCGUCAAUGGCCGAUUCCCAGGACCGACUCUGUAUGCCAGAGAAGACGAUACAGUUCUUGUAAAAGUUGUUAACCAUGUCAAAUAUAAUGUGUCUAUCCACUGGUACGAUACUAAAUAACAUUUAUCCUCUAAUUAACCAUGAAUGGUUCUGAUGUAGUUUUUUCUUGGUGUUUUGCAGGCAUGGCAUUCGGCAAUUAAGAACGGGCUGGGCUGACGGACCAGCGUACAUUACGCAAUGCCCCAUUCAGUCAGGGCAAAGCUAUGUCUACAAUUUCACAAUCACAGGCCAGAGAGGCACACUUCUGUGGCAUGCACAUAUUCUCUGGCUAAGAGCCACCGUCCACGGUGCCAUAGUUGUCUUGCCUAAGCUUGGUGUCCCCUACCCAUUCCCAGCUCCCCACAAGGAAGUGGUUGUUGUUUUAGGUGCGAAAGACUUCGAAUUUAUUGCUUCACCAUAACUUGAGCAAUUCUCGAGUUGAUAAGAAUAUGGUUCAAACCAUAACUCCAAGUAUAAGAUUCAUAGUUGUUAAAUAUGCAAUUCUGCAUUAAUUUGGUUAAGUUAUAUUGCAGCGGAAUGGUGGAAAUCAGACACUGAAGCUGUGAUCAAUGAAGCUCUUAAAUCAGGAUUAGCACCAAAUGUCUCUAAUGCUCACACAAUUAAUGGCCAUCCAGGAGCUGUCUCCGCUUGUCCUUCACAGGGUAUUUAACUGGCCUUAAAUUUAAUACUAAGGUUCCCGUUAUCAUGGUUUCACUAUAUUAAAAAGCUUACACAAGAAUGUUCUUCGAUUCUUGCAGGCGGUUUCACAUUGCCAGUCGAAAGUGGGAAGACAUACAUGCUACGGCUGAUCAAUGCUGCACUAAACGACGAGCUCUUCUUCAAAAUUGCAGGGCACAAGCUUACUGUCGUGGAAGUUGAUGCCCUACGUUAAACCUUUCAAAACCGAUACAGUCCUGAUUGCCCCAGGCCAGACCACCAAUGUCCUCGUCACAACUAACAAAAAUACCGGCAAGUACUUGGUUGCAGCCUCCCCAUUCAUGGAUGCUCCGAUUGCAGUAGACAACAUGACUGCAACAGCCACUUUGCACUAUUCGGGAGCACUUUCUAGCACCCCUACAACUCUCACCAUCCCACCUCCCAAGAAUGCCACUGCAGUUGCCAACCAAUUUACCAAUUCUCUACGCAGUCUAAACUCGAAAAGGUUCCCUGCCAAAGUCCCAUUAACCGUUGAUCACAACCUUUUCUUCACUGUUGGUCUAGGGGUUAACCCCUGUCCAACUUGCAAAGCUGGUAAUGGUAGCAGAGUUGUUGCUAGUAUCAACAAUGUCACAUUUGUAAUGCCAACCACCGCGCUGCUUCAAGCACAUUUCUUCAACAUCAGCGGUG